UGGGGAAUUUUGGACAAUGGGGCGAAAGCCUGAUCCAGCAAUGCCGCGUGUGUGAAGAAGGCCUUCGGGUUGUAAAGCACUUUUGUCCGGAAAGAAAGUCCUUGGCUCUAAUACAGUCGGGGGAUGACGGUACCGGUAAGAAUAAGCACCGGGCUAACUACGUGCCAGCAGCCGCGGUAAUACGUAGGGUGCAAGCGUUAAUCGGAAUUACUGGGCGUAAAGCGUGCGCAGGCGGUUUGCUAAGACCGAUGUGAAAUCCCCGGGUCUCAACCUGGGAACUGCAUUGGUGACUGGCAGGCUAGAGUAUGGCAGAGGGGGGUAGAAUUCCACGUGUAGCAGUGAAAUGCGUAGAGAUGUGAGGAAUACCGAUGGCGAAGGCAGCCCCCUGGGCCAAU
Molecule: ribosomal RNA, 395 nt
Filed under: uncultured bacterium
Lineage: Bacteria
Description: partial 16S ribosomal RNA
Rfam family: Bacterial small subunit ribosomal RNA
Source: RNAcentral